UCCAUUUCAUAACAGGCCCAUUGGCUCCAGAAAGCCAUCUGUACUUACCUUCCUGGCUCCCGAAUACACAGUUGAGCUAAAAUGCUCAUUCUUGGUGAAUUCCUAGAGAACUGGCCACAUGGAAAGACCUGGAACUGCCAUCCCUGUAGCAUGGGAAACAUUUUGGGUGAACUGAGAAUGUGAGUGCCACCUUCAAAGGCCUGCAAGACACAGGUGUGGUGAAAUGUCACGUCUUGUUCCCAGCCUCUGAAGAUUCAAUUACGUGGACCAUUUUCCAGCGACGCUGUUGCAAUGCAGACCGCUCGAAGGGAGCUUCGGAGGCAUCCCUGCCAUCAUAAACAGGAACCCAGCUGUUCGGACGAUGGAGCUUUGUUCAGUUCAAAGCAUCUGAAAAUGUGGUUGUUCUCGGUGUCGCGGCGAACCUCCCGCGUGGAAAACCCAGGAUCCUUCUGAGCCACACGCGCAUGCGUCAAGACUUGCUGGUGGGCUCAGAUUGGGGCUGGCUGGGACUUUUCCAGGCCUGCGUUCUGCCACUCAGGGAAGGUGAUGAAACGUACGCUUUGGUGAUUCAGCCUUUGACAGAUGCUGUGACACUUUGCAGUGUUCGACGAAUGCCACCUCCCCAGCCCCAAAUCAAAGUCCCAUAUCUAUCGCUACCCAUCUACAAGUCUUCUCGGCUUGUUUGAAAAUGAACUAGAGCUUCUAGAACUCCGGGCUCAUUUAAAUUAAAAGCACUGGGCAGGUGAGGUCCACAUGAUGGAGAGAGCGAACUUGAAAGGCUGAUGCGCCCCAUUGGCCUGCUCAUCAUGGUAACCUGUCUCCAGUCUCUCUGCCUCCUUGGGUAGAGAGGGACAGUCAGGUUCCGGAGCUCUAGUAGGAACACCACAUGACCUAUGAAACCCCUACUACUGGGCUGGGUUCCUGAAGGAGCGCUGGGUGCUGCACAGCGGCACGGGCUGGGCUGUCCAGGGCAUUACAAACACUUUCCAGGGGAAGAACCAUGGAACGGGAGAGGAUGGGUCAGUCAGUUUGUCCAGUACCUGGGAAACCAUUCACACUGCAUACAGGUAGCUGAGAAGUUGUGUUUCCGCUGUUUUUUUCUUCUCCCCCCACUCCCCGCACCUCAUAGCCCAGAGAAAGAUGUCUUUUGAGUCUGUUGAUAAUGUUUUACUUUUCUUCCUUUGAUGACAAACUCAACUACUUCCCAAGCACAGGAGAACUCAGGUGCCACCCCACAGCUCAGUCCUGCAGGGCCCCUUUUGAGAACAGACAUGAGGGGGACCCUUUGAGGAAUUGCUGAGACCUUUGCUUUCCAGAUGUAUCAUGGGGGAGGGGCUAGAGAAGUGAGAAGUGGUUCAGCAGCUGAGAGCACUGGCUCCUCUUUCAGAGAAUCUAAGUGUGGCACCCAGGUCCUACAUCAGGCAUUUCAUAGCUGUCUGUAACUCCAGCUUCCCAGAAUCCAGUGACAUUAUCUGGCCUCUAAAGGCUCUCUCUCUCUCUCUCUCUCUCUCUCUCUCUCUCUCUCUCUCUCUCUCACACACACACACACACACACACAAAUAUAAAAGAUGCAUAUUGAGUGUUUAUCCCUGAUUUGGAGAGAUUGUAUUUCAACAGCAGGUGAAUAUUCAUCUCUAAUGUUGCUUGACUUCUGAGGGUCUCGGCACAAAUACUGUCUCCCCCUUCCUCUUUCUCCUCAGUUUAUGGAGAGUUUGUUUUUCUUUCUUGUUUUCUAACCGUCUCUCUGCCUAAAUGCUUGGAGGCUGUGAAGGUUGAUAUUUGGAGAGAUGGUUUUCCUGCACAGGUGUACUCCACCCAACAUGCAUGUGCUCUUGCCCAGCUUGGCAAGCACUCCACCAGAAAGCAUGGCACUCACGGCAUUCCCACCCCUGCACCCUUGAACCCAUCACUGCCUUGGACAACAGGCUGUGGGGAGAUGGUAUGGAGACACUUGCAAGGCUAACUCUAACACACAGCAUGGUUCUUGCCUAGCUUUCUUGCAUUCUCCACCUGAGUAUCAGACAUCUUGUUUUCAGGAAGCCCAGGCCCCAAGAAGGAAGGGACAUCACAGGGGUGUUUGAGUCAAAAGCCAGUAAGAGCCAACACAGGUCAACAGCCCUGUCAGAGAAUGGCCAUCGGGGGUCUCAACGUUUACUUUGGAGAUUUCCCAGUGGGGACUUCAGACACUAUGGGGUAGAGAUAAGACAUUUGCUGCUUGUUCAACUUCCUGCCCACCAGGAAGUAGGGGAAGUGAUAAAAGGGGAUUAUUUCAAGCUGCUGAGCUUGGGGUUUUGUUAGAUAGCAGUCGAUAACUAAAGAGGGGAGCUCAUCUCACAGCUGAGGAGACAAUGUUGUGAGUGAAAGACCCAGAAAUCACCGCGCUGGGGGCCCAGCCCUUUCUUCCAGCUUUUUCUUAUGCGAGCUUGUCUGUUCAUGCCAUCUUGUGAUGCAAACUUUAAAACACACCACCAGUCUAGAUACAUGCAUGUUCAUGUAUGCGGCAUGUUAUGUACCUGGUGAUAAAAUUGAGACAUAUGAGAAAAACACUAAGCAAACAACAUAAAUCCAGUCUGUGCUUGUUUGCCUACAGUUAGAAUUGUGUCUCUGAAUGUCACCAUGACGCAGAUUUUUGUGUAAUAAAAAUAACAGGGUUUAAGGAAAAAUGCAUGUGUUUAAGGGAAGACUACACAAUGCAGGCACAAUUUUGUGAUUAAUGUAUUACAAAGUAAGUCACCAUCUUUGUAAAAUAAAUGUAAUUUCCUUGUACCAUGUCCUUUGACAAGCACAUGCUGUUUGGGGAAUGGCUUGGUUUUGGAGAAGGGAUGGCAGAGACACAGUGAUGUGACCAGAAAAGGAUCACUGCUUGAAGUGCAAGACCUGCUGAUUCAGUAUCUCAGUGGCCAUUUUUAACCCAUCAUACUUUAAGGCAAUGAAUAACUGUGGCUUGUAUUGUACUGUACAGUAGUAUAUUGUACUGCACUGUACUGUGCUGUAUUUUAUUGUACUAUACUAUAUUAUGUUGUAUUAUGCUAUACUAUACAUCAUUAUACGGUACUGUGUCUUAUUGUACUGUGCUAUAUUAUAUAGUAUUGUACUGUACUAUACUGUAUUAUUUUCAGAAAAAGAUCUCUGUGUAACGUA
Long non-coding RNA from Arvicola amphibius (Eurasian water vole), 3141 nucleotides. RefSeq lists it as uncharacterized. The transcript has 2 exons. Lineage: Eukaryota; Metazoa; Chordata; Mammalia; Rodentia; Cricetidae. The record is from RefSeq and is a predicted model, not a curated record.